Molecule: long non-coding RNA, 309 nt
Filed under: Pan troglodytes (chimpanzee)
Lineage: Eukaryota; Metazoa; Chordata; Mammalia; Primates; Hominidae
Description: long non-coding RNA NONPTRT002886
Source: RNAcentral
GACAGCAGACAACAAGGUAAGUGUUAGCCCACCCAUUUCCUGCCACUUCCCACUUCCUUCUCUGUUUCUAUGAAACUUUUUUUCACACUCAAGUCAUAGUGACCUCCUUGUCUUGCCCACAGAGAAGUCUUAAAACAUUCCCCCAGCCAGCUGGUUGUCCUCUUUGUGUUCCUAUAGCCCAGUGCUAUGAGAAAUUAGUAUAGGGAGAAUUUCUAGAGGAUAUCACUUCAGGUUUGUCUCCUGGACACAUUAAUUUAAUGCUAUCAAAUCUGAUGGUUUAGCUCACAGUACCAAAUAGCACUGAGAUAA